GGGGAUUGGGGGUUCCUUUUUUCUUUUCUUUUUAGCUAGAAUUGUCAUCCUGAGUAAAAUUGGUUUUAUCAGUAAAUGAGAAUAUAAGAAUGGCUCUUGGGUAGGCCACUACCAGCAUCUACUCUUAGGCUCAUUAAUGAGUAAUACCCUAUGUCCCAGGACAUCUACCAUGUUUUCUGAUCAUUGCCUUCUCUUCCCUGCCUGCUUCAGCUCAAACUGGAGUUAUGUUCUAUACACUUUUUGUGUUAAAUAAAUUAGCACUGGGUGUUACAAAUUUUUAAAAACCUUAUUCUCAAGCAUUCCUAUCAGGUAGAAAAAUAUUAAAGAAACAGAUUUUUUUAUUUAUUUCAAAACCAAAAUAUAAUUGAGUAUUGCAGAAUUAAGAAUUGGAGAGAGAUAAAAUAAAAGCUCAUAAAAUAAGAACAUAUAUAUGCUAUUGGGAUUUGGGAUGUUCACAUAUUAAGAAAAUACAGUAUUCUUAAAUGUUUGUUAUUUCUUAGUGCCCUAUUUAAGACCAUGUUAGCAUUUACUAAUUCCUUGGCUCUGUCAGCCAUUCAUUCAAUGGCAGAUCUAUUUGUGUUCCUGACUUGUGUAGCACUGUGCUGGGAUUUCUUCAUAGAGUUGUUCCCCUUUUAUUUCUUGGUUCUUUCUUGCUCAAAACCCAUACAGGAAGAGUGUCUCCUGUAAGUGGUCUGUGACUUACAUUCUGCUAUAUAAUUAGCCUCAAAAUACAAGUUCUUAACCCUUUACCUGAAAUAUUCAGGGUUAGAUAUAUUAUUUAAUUCAAAAUUUUAAGAAAAUGCCAUAUGUACACAUUACAUAAUAAUUCAGAAUCUGACGCAGGACUCACUCAUCAAAUACUUUUAAAUAUCUGUAUAGUCAGAUCCAGUGGGAUAAAUAAUUAAAUGUAGUUUCAUGUCAGCUCUUUUUUGCCACCAAAUGUUUUUGUAAAAUCUUUAUUUUCAAACUUCUUGGAUUUUGAAGAUGGAUAUUGUAGAAUAGACCUGUAGAGUAACAAUUUGGAAGAAUUAUGAAUUUAUUUAAAUGAUUAUCAAGAUCCCUAAUGAAGAUGCAUUAUAGCAGAUACCAACUUGAUUCUUCUGACUGGUGUUAGAUUAUUAGCAUUUAUACUUGAGUGCUUUAACUUUUCCUCUAUGUCCUGAUUUUCAUCCUUUUUAACAGACUAUUGGAAAUGUCUCUAAAGAAAUGCUUGCUAGUUGUGCAGUGCUGAAUCUUCACCCUUCUGAAUCACAUUCCCUAAGCAUGGAUAUCUUUAAGUGUUGACUUUUUUCUUUGUAGGAGUCCUUUCCUUAACUCAAUCAAGUGUCCUAGCUUUCUGACUCUACUUCAAGAGUCAUUAUCAGAAUUUGCCUUUUCAUAAAAUUACUUAUUCUAUUCUUGUGCCUCCUGAAAUAAUAUUUUUUUAAUAAUUUUUGAAUAAGGCAGUUUAAUAUUUAUGAUCAGCAACUUUAAGUAAUAUAAUUGUAUAUUAGUUACUUAUACAUUUUUAAUGUCAUUUAGAAGUUUCAGGAGAAUGUAAGUAGGCUACUAUACUAGUAAAUCUAACACACUGACUUUUAAGUGAUUAAUAAUGCGGAGCUUAUCUUCUUAGUACUUUCAGGUUGUUCUUUUUUAUAAAUUUUAUGUGAAUUUCAUAAAAGUCUUUCUUCCUAGGCCCCUUGUUAUUAGUCUGCUGUGAUUUUGUUCCUAGGUCAAAUUUAUUUUAGAUUUUAUUAAAGUUAGAUUUUAUUUGUGGAAGUUAUGAAACAGAUUGAAUUUUAAAUGAUAGUUUUAAGGUUUCUUAAAAAGCAGUGACACAAUAGUUAUAUGUUUGGUGAGUGCCUGCUAAAUUUCUUGGAAGGCCAAAUAUUUCAAUUGACAGUUUGCUGUUUAUACUUCAAAUCAAACUUUCUUAUCUAGCCAUGAGGUUCUAGUUUAUUGUUCACAUAUUAUUAUAUUGAAUUGAGUUGUGUGGUUUGUCUAAUGAAAUUAAACUGAUCUUGCUUGUUAAUGACAACAUCUUGCAAUUAUCCCAUCAACGACUAUAAUCAGGAAAGUCCUGAUUAUAGGAAGAUGGGAAAGAAAAAUAUGGUGAGGUAUUUUGAUGCCUUGUAAUAUCACGGCUGGGUUAGCAUGGGGACUACCACCUUUAGUCUAGGAAUGAAUAAUUUCCAGUUCAGAUAUCUAGAAAUAUGUCACUUGUAGAAUUUAAGAAAAACUUUGGAAAGAAGAUAAGAUA
Long non-coding RNA from Pipistrellus kuhlii (Kuhl's pipistrelle), 2239 nucleotides. RefSeq lists it as uncharacterized. The transcript is spliced from 2 exons. The record is from RefSeq and is a predicted model, not a curated record. Lineage: Eukaryota; Metazoa; Chordata; Mammalia; Chiroptera; Vespertilionidae.